UUCCUUUGGUAUUUUUUGUGCUGUUGC
RNAcentral lists this small RNA (27 nucleotides) under Bombyx mori (domestic silkworm). RNAcentral's name for it is "ovarian small RNA-37357". The record is from RNAcentral. Lineage: Eukaryota; Metazoa; Arthropoda; Insecta; Lepidoptera; Bombycidae.